This is a long non-coding RNA of Carya illinoinensis, 1047 nucleotides long. RefSeq lists it as uncharacterized. NCBI's taxonomy places the organism in Eukaryota, Viridiplantae, Streptophyta, Magnoliopsida, Fagales, Juglandaceae. The record is from RefSeq and is a predicted model, not a curated record. The transcript is spliced from 2 exons.
GAUUUCUUUCUUGCUUCUGCCUUCUCCACUUCUCUCUGUUCUCUCGUUCCCCAAAGGAAAACUCUUCUUGCAAGCAAGCAGCGGACCGAAUUGUGCACCAACGCUGACGUGGAUUAAAUAAAACGGCACGUUUCGUCUGGAACGGGAAGGGAAUUUAAAUGAGAUAAGGAACUGAAACGCACCGUUUAGUCCAAUCACCCAUUCUUGUUUGUUCCUCCUCUUCGCAUUCCUUCACUCUCUCUCCAUUCUCCUCCAUUCUCUUCACUUCUCCCCUGUUGAUUCUCGUUCUCUCCUCCGUCAAAAUCCAUCGUGAUUGUCUUCUUUUGUUAUGAACCCUAACCUAAGUUGAUGUCCUCUUCUUAUGUCAUUUAAUCCCCAUUUUUUGUUCCAAACCCUAAUCCCUGCAAAUCCCUCUUCUCCGUGAAAAGCUCGUUGAGAGCAACGUUUAUUCUUCUCAACCACAGAAUCGCUAUUGGUGAUCUGUAUAACUUGGUCUAUUCAGCUGAAUGGUUGUUGGUGGUGCUUAAAACAAUCCAUACUUGUUUGGAGCUGCAAAAAAGAAUAUUUUCUUUAAUCUUCUAUAUGCUGAAGGCAGUAGCUCAAUGUUGCAGUUAUGAUGAGGAUGCGCAACAUAUAGCAAUGGAUGUACCAAUAAGAAGUGAUUUGAUUCAAGUUUGAAGCACUAUAUGAACAAGGGAAGGUAAAAGAGAAUUAGGAUUGAGGCCACUAGAGAUGACAGAGUGAUCUGUAAUGUUAAGGAAGAUAUGACCUUUUUUUAGGAAGCUGCCAAUAAGCUAUUGGUUUACCAGAGUUUUUGGUAAGUUUAGAUUAUUAGAGGGGUUUUGGUUCUUCUUCCAUUUAGGUCCUGACUUUUUGGAAGCUGUUUGAUGUAUCAUUCGAGUAGUUCUUAUGUUGUAAUUUAGGAAAGAGGUGUGAUCUUUGGACAUGUUUCUUUUCUCAUAUUGUUGUGAACUGUAACUUACAAAAAUAAUUGUUAUAAUUACGAACUUUGAGGCGAAUGAAGAAAUUUUUUGUCCUGGUGGGAUG